AUGACUAGGGAUAACCUUAUGAAGAGACACAUCAUCAAACCCCUUGAUUGUGUUUACUGCUUGGAACAAGAGUCUUGUUCUCACCUAUUUUUUAAAUGUAUAGUUGCUAAACAUCUCUGGGCCCAUGUUGAGGAAUAUUUCUCUAGUCAGAUUGGCUCAUCCUUCGAAUCUGUCGCCAGAUUCUGGAUUGCUACCAAAAAGAGCUCAGUUUUAAACACUGUUAGCUCAGCUGUCCUUUGGUGCCUCUGGAAAUAUAGAAAUGCUAUGAUUUUCAGUAACACCUCCUGGAUUUCCAUUCCACGGUCUUGA
This 309-nucleotide ribosomal RNA is filed under the name Triticum aestivum (bread wheat). Its description in RNAcentral is "partial small subunit ribosomal RNA". The record is from RNAcentral. Lineage: Eukaryota; Viridiplantae; Streptophyta; Magnoliopsida; Poales; Poaceae.